RNAcentral lists this ribosomal RNA (253 nucleotides) under uncultured bacterium. Its description in RNAcentral is "partial 16S ribosomal RNA". It matches the Rfam family "Bacterial small subunit ribosomal RNA", at positions 524 to 776 of the family's 1533-position model. The record is from RNAcentral.
UACGUAGGUGGCAAGCGUUGUCCGGAUUUACUGGGCGUAAAGAGCGUGUAGGCGGCCAAGCAGGUCCGUUGUGAAAACUGGAGGCUUAACCUCCAGACGUCGACGGAAACCGCGUGGCUAGAGUCCGGAAGAGGAGAGUGGAAUUCCUGGUGUAGCGGUGAAAUGCGCAGAUAUCAGGAAGAACACCGAUGGCGAAAGCAGCUCUCUGGGACGGUACUGACGCUGAGACGCGAAAGCGUGGGGAGCGAACAGG